RNA transcript from Hemicordylus capensis (graceful crag lizard), 4952 nucleotides. It is a transcript of the gene named Mdm1 nuclear protein, with no coding region annotated. The transcript has 16 exons. NCBI's taxonomy places the organism in Eukaryota, Metazoa, Chordata, Lepidosauria, Squamata, Cordylidae. The record is from RefSeq and is a predicted model, not a curated record.
AGAUGGAGACGAAGGUAAUCGAGCCCAGCCCCCAGGCUCUGAUUGGGUGGCCUCUCGCGCAGGCGCCUGAGGCGCGGCAAGCCGGAGGGGAUUUGCCAAGGGAACAGGAGUGUUUACAGUUAUCGCGUCCUCCUUCUAGUUCCCUUCCCCGCCCCAUAACCGUUCAAGAGCGCUUUGCUGCCCAGUUCCAGAUCCAGCCAGGCGCGGGGUGAGAGCCAUGCCUAUACAAUGUAAGGGAUUGAGUGAGUACAGAAGGAACUUCAAGUGGAGGAAAUCAGAUCAAUCCACACUUUGUAUCCCUACGCGUGAGGAAAAAUGCCGAUGGGCUGGACUUCGAUCAGAUGAGCUUGGAAUCUCAAGAGAACCAAACUUUAUUUCCAAGAGAAGAGUACCUUAUUACAACACACAGGUUUCAAAGUCCUUUGAGUGGAAUGGGGGCAAUGAUUUGGAAGAAGAUACAUCAUCAGAAGUGGAAGUUCACCAGCCAGUACAGCCACUGGAGUUGCACACAAAUCACAAGAAGGAGGAUAUAAACCAAGAAACAAUUAAAACACCCGAUGCUCCCAGACUUCCUGAAAAAAUGCAGUCCAACUCUGCAAGUUCUAAAUCUGAAUCAGCUUUAACCCUUGCAGAAACCAAGAAGUCGCCAUCCAAAGCUACAGUGCAUGAAAAUAAAAUAUUGGCACCUGCAAAAAAGGAUGCAGGAAAAAUAGACAGUGGGCUUAAUAAGGUUCUGCAGAGGAAAGCUGGCAUGAAUGUUUCACGGUCAAGCAGCUUCCCCAGAAGUUCUGAGUAUCAAAGACAAUUUGUUUGGAAGAUCCCUCAAAAACUCUCUCCAUUACUUGCAGCUGACCAGUUUAUUCACAGUGCAAGUAAAUCCAUUCCUCCAUUUAAGUCUCCUGUAAUUACUCAUGAAACGGAAUAUGAAAGGAGUUUCAAAGCUUCUCCCCCUGUGAAAGAACUGAAACAGAGGUGCUUUUUGGAUGAAAAAGAACGUCCUGUACCUGAAUCUGUAGAAACUUCCCUUGGAAAAAUGAAUGAGAAAAAAGAAACAUUUUCAAAAACCAUGGAAAAGCCAUCUAAGCAAGACAAAAUGGAAGCAGAGCAGAAACAACAUCAAAAACACAAAACCCUCUCUCCACAUAGAAGUUUGAGGAAAAUGAAAACGGAAUACAGAUCAAAAUUUUUGUCUCCAGCUCAGUACUUGUACAAUGAUGGUGCCUGGUUGCGUAUUGGGAGAAACGUAAGAGAUCAAGGUUCUCAAAACACCCUAAAAACCAUGUGGUAUGUGGAGGUGAAAGAACUUCGAGAGAAAGCAAAGGCUUACAGACAAAGAAUACAGGGAACCCACUUCUCCAGAGAUCAUUUAAACCAGAUUCUGUCAGAUAACAACAGGCUUUGGGACAUGUCUUCUGAUUCCAGUACAGAAGAAAUCGUUAGCAACAAUAUCAGAGCUCUAGAUCUGGCAGGCAUCCCUGAAAGGCAGAUCUCUGCAGGUCCUAAGACAUUGCUACAACCUACAUUUUCAGAACAGUUUGAACAGAACAACACUGAGAAGUUGGGUAUGUCAGAUGCUCCCACAGUUCCAGUCAGGCGACAUCUAGUUUGGGAUGCAUCAGCCAAUGCUGAACAGCUGGAAAGUCGGCCACCAGAAUUAGAGGAAGGAGAAGAAAAAGAGCAUGAGCAAGAGCUGGAAGAGGAUGAAGCAGUAAAAGGAAGUAAUGAUGGAACCAGUACAGACAAGCAGCAAGAGGGAAAUGUAAAUCCCUCAGCAGAUAUGGCAGACUCUUCUGCAGUAUCCUCAAGAAGUGGGGGCAGGCUUCCUACUCCACAUCUAAGAGCACUUGGUGGAGCUCAAAGAACUCAUCAUGACCUUACCACACCAAGUGCUGGUGGUGUUGUUUUAGUAUCUCCUCCUAAAGCGAAGUCUUUGUUCUCACUGCAAACAGGGAAGGGCUCUCCAGGGAAGCAUGCCUUGCCCCAUAAUAAAGUCUCAAGAGAAGACUUUAAGAGGAAAUCUAACAGGGUAAGACACAGCAGGUCUAUGAAAGUUGAAGGGGAAACUUUGUCAAUGAGUUCUUCCCCAGCUGCUGGUCUGAAAACUUUAGAUCCUCUGCCUCUAAGGAAAGAUCAGGGGUCCAAUCUAGACACUUCUGGUGUAAGAAGCCCUCCAGUACAUUCAGAACAGACUCCGAAGGACCCUUCUCUACCCUACUGGAGUUCAUCACGCCGCAUUCAAGGAAGUCUUAGGGAUCCAGAGUUUCAGCAUAACGGCAAUGUUGCAAGCCCCAAAAGGAGUUGGUUGCAGUUACCGCUUCAGGAGAGAAACUAUAAUGAUGAAGAUGGAGUAGUGUAGGGGAGGUGAAGUGCUAGCCCCAGAGCAUCAAAAAGCUACCUGCAGUUUCCAGUGUUGCCACAAGGUUGUUCUGUGGUGCCAGAGCCCAGAAUAGGGAGUGAACAGGCCAUGCAGGUCCCCACAGAAUUUCUGAAGAUCCAUGAGGUAAACAUUCCAGGCAAUCUAAAAGUGGAAAAAUAAGAGGCUAAAUCAUACAUUUAUUUCUGAAAUGAUACCCCUGUAACAUUGUCUGACAUCUAGAGUAAUGAUGUGCAUGUGCCGCAUUCCAGACUAGAACUCUGUGUGUGUGUGUAUGAGGGAGAGAGAGAGAGAGAGAGAGCGCGAGCGUGCGACUGACCAACCAACCAGCCUCUCUUUCACUAUGAAGUGCUCUGUGCCACCUCAAAAUGUGUUCCUCAAGGACAUAUUUUCUGCAACAAGCCGCCUGGUUCGGUUUGAGUUUGAACCAGACCCAAACCAGAUUGGGCCAGUUUGGUUUUGCCUCACAUCAAACACCCCCCCCCCCAGUUUGCUUUGCUUUGGAGGGGGGGUUGUCGAACGUGUUCAGUUCUCCCUCCCCUUGUUCCUUUUAACUUACCCCCUUUGCAAGGCUUCUCCAAGGUGAUGGUGGGUGUCCGUGGAGGUUCCUCACCCCCACCAGUCUUUAUGCAAAAAUCGUCUGGUUUGGGCGGUCUUCAGCCUUUUCCAGGCCUAUUCCCCAGCGUGGCAGCCAUUUUGGAGGCCACUGUGCAUGCGCAGUGGGACCCUCUGUGGUCAGGUCAUGACCCAGGCCAUGUGGGGGUGGUUCAGCUCGACCCCAAACCUUCGAACCCAGCCUGUUCGAUAUCGAACCGGUUUGGAUUCGACUUGUUUGCACACCCCUACUUCAGAGGGAAGGGGAGGUCAGCACCCCUUCCAUGAGUGCAUGUGCUCUGGAAUGCUUCAUGUGUGCCAUGUUAGUGUGGAUGCCUGCUGAUGAUUACACUAUAUAAUUCUCACAUUGGGGGCUGUUUUGUGUGAAAUGGUGCCCAUGUUAACCACAUAAGAGGAAAUGGUUGAAAUUCAGUAUCAGAGGAAAAAGUAUAGCAGCAGUUUUCUUUGAGGGGUUAUGGCCUUAUGCAUGAAAAUGAGGUGGUAAAGUCACUAUGUGUGGGACUUUUCACUUAUACAAAAUGUGUGAAUCAGCCCUAACACUUUUAUUAAAUAUAGUAGUUUGGCUCUCAAGCAUCCCAGUGCACAGAAGAGGGCAGUUUGGCACUCUGUGCCAAAGCAUAUACAGCAAAUUUAGUUGAAAGAUCAUAUUCCUCAUCUGGCAACUUUCUGCACCUCCAAGGAAGGCCCACCUAACAGCCAUUUAGACGCUUGAGAUAACUGCCAAGACUGAAAAAUGUGUGGGUUGUGCAAAGCAACAUAUUUACAGAAAACAUUUGCCAUCACCUGGUCUUCAGCAAUGCCCUAUAAACUCACCACAGUUUUUGAAAUGACAGAUCAUUACUAAACUGUGACUUUGCUACUGAAAAAACAACAACCAGCCAUUAGCAGCAGAAAAACCAUCUGAAGAAUCAUCCAAUAAUGCCUGUCUUAAAUGUGCACAUUUACUGUGCAAGAAUGUACAGCUGCCACUGGUAGUUUGUAACUUUUCCUUGCAGAUGUUAAGUUCUUUUCUUUAGCACAUUUUCCAGCCAAAGUCUUUCAAGAAGUUGAGGCAAAUAUUAAGACCUGCAAUAAACCUAUCAAAUAUAUAUUUUAAAAAAUUAGAACACCUAGAUAGGUCUCUGUUCAACUAUCUUUCUGUUUUGUCAUGAGAUUUUGCUAAAAUAUAGUUUGGAAUUUGCUCACCACUGAGUUCUAUGAACUCCACCCACCUGAUUGCCUGCUAAAUGUCCUCGGAGGCAGCAAACAUUCCGCUUUAUUGAAUUACAUUGGGGCAGUUGGUCCCCCCGCCCCUUGAGUUUUCUCUCUCCAGAAUUUUGUAAAACCAACUUAUCUACAGAUUACCCUGAGUCUGCUGGUACCUCCCUCUCUCCUGCAGGUGCUCUGAUCCCUAAGGAUCAUAACGUUUCCAACUCUUUCGGAAACAGAUAUACAAUCUUUUAAAACUGAAUGUGCCACAUACAGACUGUAUGCAAAUUGCAGCAUGUCUAAGAUUCAACCCACAUGAACUAUUAAUGUAAUAGUAAUAAACACCCCUGAUCUAACACAUGCCAUGAGAGCAGAAACUUUCAUUAUGCUUGGCUGUUUCCUAUAUUGGACUUGUCAAAGAAUAAAAAUACUUGUUUUAGUGCUGAUACUGUAGGUUGUUCUUAAAAAGUCAAAUUAUGACCUCUUUAUGCAUAAUGAAAUCACUCAAAAGGUUUGCCUUUUAAUGCAGCCAGUGCCAUGAAGAUGUUUCUUAAACCAGAUGUAAAACUGGCUUCAAUAUCCAUAUAAUCUCCAAACUAGUAGCACCCCAGUGUGUAGAAGGAUAACAUCAGCUUACCAGCGAACUUAAUAAUGAUUACGUUGUUCAGUAGAUGUUAGCCUUUUCACCCCUAAACGGUAUUUGUUCUUGAGUUUAGAAAGUCUUUAAGCAUACAUUAUUUAUUUUUCAUAUUUCAGUGUAACUCAUAUAAUUUUU